RNAcentral lists this ribosomal RNA (441 nucleotides) under uncultured bacterium. RNAcentral describes it as "partial 16S ribosomal RNA". It matches the Rfam family "Bacterial small subunit ribosomal RNA", at positions 339 to 795 of the family's 1533-position model. The record is from RNAcentral.
CUACGGGAUGCUGCAGUGGGGAAUAUUGCGCAAUGGGCGAAAGCCUGACGCAGCAAUGCCGCGUGAGUGAAGAAGGCCUUCGGGUCGUAAAGCUCUUUAUCCUGGGGAAGAUGAUGACGGUACCCAAGGAAGAAGCACCGGCUAACUACGUGCCAGCAGGCCGCGGUAAUACGUAGGGUGCAAGCGUUGUUCGGAAUCACUGGGCGUAAAGGGCGUGUAGGCGGAAAGGUCAGCUAGAGGUGAAAGCCCGGGGCUCAACCCCGGAGGGUCUUUUAGAGCUGCCUUUCUUGAGAAGGUCAGAGGUUAGCGGAGUUCCUGGUGUAGCGGUGAAAUGCGUAGAUAUCAGGAGGAACACCGGUGGCGAAAGCGGCUAACUGGGGCCAUUCUGACGCUGAGGCGCGAAAGCGUGGGGAGCAAACAGGAUUAGAUACCCGAGUAGUC